AAGAGGAAUGGAGGCAUCGGUUUUCGAGAUAUGCAUUUGUUUAACCAAGCUCUACUUGCUAGACAAGGUUGGCGAUUAAUACAGAAACCUGAGAGUCUUUGUGCUAGAUUGCUCAAAUCAAAAUACUAUCCAAACGGAAACUUGCUUGAUACGGUAUUUUCUUCGGAUGCUUCCCCAGCUUGGAGAGGGAUCGAAUUUGGUUUAGAACUCCUAAAAAAAGGUUUGAUCUGGCGCAUAAGGAAUGGAAGGAAGAUCCAAAUUCAACGGGAUCAAUGGAUCCCAAGGAAAGAAGGAUUAAAAGUGGCCACUUUCACUAGGAGAUCAAGGCUAAGGUGGGUUAACCAAUUGAUGAGGCCAAACAGCAAGGAAUGGAAUACGGAAUUAAUAAACAUUUGUUAUGGAUGA
Molecule: ribosomal RNA, 405 nt
Filed under: Triticum aestivum (bread wheat)
Lineage: Eukaryota; Viridiplantae; Streptophyta; Magnoliopsida; Poales; Poaceae
Description: partial small subunit ribosomal RNA
Source: RNAcentral